AUCAUGGCUCAGGAUGAACGCUAGCUACGGGCUUAACACAUGCAAGUCGAGGGGCAGCAUGGUCUUAGCUUGCUAAGGCUGAUGGCGACCGGCGCACGGGUGUGUAACACGUAUCCAACCUGCCGUCUACUCUUGGCCAGCCUUCUGAAAGGAAGAUUAAUCCAGGAUGGGAUCAUGAGUUCACAUGUCCGCAUGAUUAAGGUAAUUUCGUUACGUACGA
RNAcentral lists this ribosomal RNA (220 nucleotides) under uncultured bacterium. Its description in RNAcentral is "partial 16S ribosomal RNA". It matches the Rfam family "Bacterial small subunit ribosomal RNA", at positions 16 to 222 of the family's 1533-position model. The record is from RNAcentral.